GCAGUUGUUAUCUCAGUGGUAGAGUGCAUGCUCUGUGUGUAUGAUGUUCUGGGUUCAAAUCCCAGCUGCC
RNAcentral lists this transfer RNA (70 nucleotides) under Dallia pectoralis (Alaska blackfish). RNAcentral describes it as "tRNA-Thr". The stretch from base 9 to 65 matches the Rfam family "tRNA", at positions 8 to 63 of the family's 71-position model. From Rfam's summary of the family: Transfer RNA (tRNA) molecules are approximately 80 nucleotides in length. Their secondary structure includes four short double-helical elements and three loops (D, anti-codon, and T loops). Further hydrogen bonds mediate the characteristic L-shaped molecular structure. tRNAs have two regions of fundamental functional importance: the anti-codon, which is responsible for specific mRNA codon recognition, and the 3' end, to which the tRNAs corresponding amino acid is attached (by aminoacyl-tRNA synthetases). tRNAs cope with the degeneracy of the genetic code in two manners: having more than one tRNA (with a specific anti-codon) for a particular amino acid; and 'wobble' base-pairing, i.e. permitting non-standard base-pairing at the 3rd anti-codon position. Lineage: Eukaryota; Metazoa; Chordata; Actinopteri; Esociformes; Umbridae. The record is from RNAcentral.